CAACUGGCUCACAAUACUUCUAUAUAAAAUAGAUAGCUCAACCGGCUCGCAAUAUUGUUGCUCUUUCCGCUAUAUCUUAACCAACGAAGCUCUCUUAGCUCUCUAGCUCUUCCGUUUCUCUCGAUGCAGCUCACUUGUAGCUUAAGGUAAUACUUCUGCUAAGUUUCAGUUAUUGGAAAGACUUGAGAAGUGAAUCCAAUGUUUAGAACAAUAAGCAGG
RNAcentral lists this long non-coding RNA (219 nucleotides) under Mytilus galloprovincialis (Mediterranean mussel). Lineage: Eukaryota; Metazoa; Mollusca; Bivalvia; Mytilida; Mytilidae. The record is from RNAcentral.